Molecule: ribosomal RNA, 497 nt
Filed under: uncultured bacterium
Lineage: Bacteria
Description: partial 16S ribosomal RNA
Rfam family: Bacterial small subunit ribosomal RNA
Source: RNAcentral
GACGAACGCUGGCGGCGUGCCUAAUACAUGCAAGUAGAACGCUGAAGAGAGGAGCUUGCUCUUCUUGGAUGAGUUGCGAACGGGUGAGUAACGCGUAGGUAACCUGCCUUGUAGCGGGGGAUAACUAUUGGAAACGAUAGCUAAUACCGCAUAACAAUGGAUGACACAUGUCAUUUAUUUGAAAGGGGCAAUUGCUCCACUACAAGAUGGACCUGCGUUGUAUUAGCUAGUAGGUGAGGUAAUGGCUCACCUAGGCGACGAUACAUAGCCGACCUGAGAGGGUGAUCGGCCACACUGGGACUGAGACACGGCCCAGACUCCUACGGGAGGCAGCAGCAGGGAAUCUUCGGCAAUGGGGGCAACCCUGACCGAGCAACGCCGCGUGAGUGAAGAAGGUUUUCGGAUCGUAAAGCUCUGUUGUAAGUCAAGAACGGGUGUGAGAGUGGAAAGUUCACACUGUGACGGUAGCUUACCAGAAAGGGACGGCUAACUACGUG